CUAAAGCCACUUGAGGAUUGUAAAUGAGAAACAUGCGUGUGGAAGACGGGCGGAUAGUUAGUCUUGGUUUUGAACCCAUUUCUAAAACCAAGCCUCCAACGCAACGAACGCAUCACAACCGGGUAUAAAAUCAGAUUUCUCCGUGUUCGACCAUGAAAGUGACACGGAUGUUUGUGCCCAGAUGCUGCGCUCCUUCACAUUAGGACGUCGCCGGAUGACUAAAUGGCCACCAUGCUCCAUGCGUCCGCUGUGGUCGUGUGGGAAUGGCUCAACGAACACGGGCGGUGGCGGCCCUACAGCCCGACCGUCUCCCACCACAUCGAGGCGGUGAUACGAAGCGAUCCCCGUGGUGGGAGCGUCGUGCUAGGCCAAGUCGACAACCGCCUCUCGCCCUACAUCCUAGACCUGCAGUCGAUGCACCAGUUCAGGCAGGACACAGGUAAGAAGACGAGAGCUGAGAGGUGGGAAUGGCUGUUGUUGUUGUGGGGAUGCCAAUGUGGUGUUUUUACGCGCCUGGUGUUGUUUGUGUAAGGCACGUGGAUGUAUAUAGGUGGAGAACGUUUGUGAAACAGCACAGUUUAAAAUAUAUGGCACA
RNA transcript from Oncorhynchus gorbuscha (pink salmon), 595 nucleotides. It is a transcript of the gene named E3 ubiquitin-protein ligase DTX4-like, with no coding region annotated. The record is from RefSeq and is a predicted model, not a curated record. The transcript is spliced from 3 exons. Lineage: Eukaryota; Metazoa; Chordata; Actinopteri; Salmoniformes; Salmonidae.